AAGUGCAUAAUGCUUUGAGCUCAGAAAUUCAUCAUGUAGGGAACAACCAGGAGAGGCUAAAUGUCAAUGUACAGACUAUAGAAGACAGUCAUCCCCAACAUGAGACUCCUGUCUUAGAUGUUGAAGUUAGAGAAGAGUCAGUUCAGAGAGUAGCAGAUGUUACAAACCAACCAGAGUUUCAGUUGUUAUCUCUGACUACUGAGGCAGCAACAGCAACACCACCACCUUCUCCUUUUGCAUAUGUAAAUACUGGGACUCCAACAGUACGUAUCACAGUUCA
Molecule: long non-coding RNA, 280 nt
Organism: Polypterus senegalus (gray bichir)
Lineage: Eukaryota; Metazoa; Chordata; Cladistia; Polypteriformes; Polypteridae
Exons: 3
Source: RefSeq, a predicted model, not a curated record